AACUUUUGGCAACGGAUCACUUGGCUCUGGCAUCAAUGAAGAACGCAGCGAAAUGCGAUAAGUAAUGUGAAUUGCAGAAUUCAGUGAAUCAUCGAAUCUUUGAACGCACAUUGCGCCCCUUGGUAUUCCGAGGGGCAUGCCUAUUCGAGCGUCAUUAUCACCCCUCAAGCCUAGCUUGGUGUUGAGGCCUGCUGUUAAGGCAGCCUCUAAAAUCAGUGGCAGUGCUGUCAGGCUCUAAGCGUAGUAAAUCUAAUCGCUAUAGACACCUGGUGGACACUCGCCAGAACCCCCCAUUUUUUAAUGAUUGACCUCGGAUUAGGUAGGGAUACCCGCUGAACUUAAGCAUAUCAAUAAGCGGAGGCU
RNAcentral lists this unclassified non-coding RNA (363 nucleotides) under uncultured Ascomycota. RNAcentral describes it as "sequence contains ITS2". The stretch from base 1 to 154 matches the Rfam family "5.8S ribosomal RNA". Lineage: Eukaryota; Fungi; Ascomycota. The record is from RNAcentral.